GACCUGAUGCAGCCAUGCCGCGUGUGUGAAGAAGGCCUUCGGGUUGUAAAGCACUUUCAGUUGUGAGGAAAGGUUGGUAGUUAAUACCUGCCAGCUGUGACGUUAACAACAGAAGAAGCACCGGCUAACUCCGUGCCAGCAGCCGCGGUAAUACGGAGGGUGCGAGCGUUAAUCGGAAUUACUGGGCGUAAAGCGCACGCAGGCGGUUUGUUAAGCUAGAUGUGAAAGCCCCGGGCUCAACCUGGGAUGGUCAUUUAGAACUGGCAGACUAGAGUCUUGGAGAGGGGAGUGGAAUUCCAGGUGUAGCGGUGAAAUGCGUAGAUAUCUGGAGGAACAUCAGUGGCGAAGGCGGCUCCCUGGCCAAAGACUGACGCUCAUGUGCGAAAGUGUGGGUAGCGAACAGGAUUAGAUACCCUGGUAGUCCACACCGUAAACGCUGUCUACUAGCUGUUUGUGAAUUUAAUUCGUGAGUAGCGAAGCUAACGCGCUAAGUAGACCGCCUGGGGAGUACGGCCGCAAGGUUAAAACUCAAAUG
This 535-nucleotide ribosomal RNA is filed under the name Alteromonas sp. Its description in RNAcentral is "bacterial SSU rRNA". It matches the Rfam family "Bacterial small subunit ribosomal RNA", at positions 380 to 907 of the family's 1533-position model. The record is from RNAcentral. Lineage: Bacteria; Pseudomonadati; Pseudomonadota; Gammaproteobacteria; Alteromonadales; Alteromonadaceae.